This 911-nucleotide long non-coding RNA is filed under the name Populus tremula. Its description in RNAcentral is "long non-coding RNA (PTRE_LNC003059)". Lineage: Eukaryota; Viridiplantae; Streptophyta; Magnoliopsida; Malpighiales; Salicaceae. The record is from RNAcentral.
AUUAAGCUUGAAAUUAAUUUAAUUAAUCCAACCAGGGACUUAAUUGAAGAAAUAUCAAAGUUUGAGGUUUAAUUGGGGUCCAAAUUGAGAAAAUUAAAAUCCAAGGACCAACUUGAAAAUGGCGCAGAAAUGUAAGGAUCCAAUUACAUUUUAAUCAGGGGUUUGAUUGCAAAUUAGAAGAAUCGCAAGGACCAAAUUCGCAACCAGCAAAACGGCACCGUUUUCUCUGCAACUGUUCACCAUCUCUGCAACGGCUCUGCAAUUAAAGGCAGAGGCGUUUCGUCCGUUGGCGCUGACGUUUCUUCAUUGAAGGCGCCGGUUACGGGACAUUUAGGAGGGCAGCCGUUUCCACCACCAAGGCUGCCGCUGUCUCUAUAAAAGCUAAGCGAAGGAGACCUCGCGAAAAAAGGGGAGGAGACAGAGAAAGAAAAACCCGAAAACCAGAGCACAAAACACACAGAGAACAAAAAACCCAGAAGCAGAGUGAACAAAAAGGAGUUAAACAAAGAGCUAAACCCAUCUUUUGUUUAGUCCCAGAAUCCAAUCACACACAACCGAAAAAUCAGAGAAAAAACGAAACAGGGAAAAAACAGAGAGACCCGCAGAAAUAAAAACGCAGAGAGCAAGGGAGAAAAAGGGCAGCAUACACACAUAGUGACAAGAAUUAUCUUUGAAACCGUUUUCGUCCCUGCAAACAAAGGAAAGACCAGUAUUCAUUCAAAGAACAUCACAGUAAACCGGCUCUUCAUUAUUGUUUCCUUCAUCAUCCCAAGAGCUGCGGGAAGACUGAAGUAUACGGGCACAGAAUCAAAAGGAAACAAAAGAAAGCAGAAGAAGGAGAAGAGCAGAGGAUGUAGUCGGCCAGCCAGAGCUUCGCCACCGUCUCCAUCGCCUCGCAGACCAGGUAAGAA